This 579-nucleotide ribosomal RNA is filed under the name Triticum aestivum (bread wheat). RNAcentral describes it as "partial small subunit ribosomal RNA". The record is from RNAcentral. Lineage: Eukaryota; Viridiplantae; Streptophyta; Magnoliopsida; Poales; Poaceae.
AUGGAGCUGCCUCGGCCCUCAAUCACCCGUCAAGCCGCGAGCGCGUGCGGGGGAGAAUACCUGGCACAGCGGUUAUCGCGAUGGGCCGUGGCAUCCUGGCAGGAGAGCGAGGAGGAUCUCGCCGCCUCGCCGGCCACGACCCACGGCGGAGCAUGGGCGCUGGGACGAUGGCGAGUCGAGGCUACGGCGGGGGGCGUCCCUGCAGGUAUCCGCGUUGCCGAUUCAGCGGCCUCGCUGGUAUUCCGUGCGGUAUUCUCCUCCACCUCCUCGCCUCCCGCGGAGGAGGCCGGAAGACGGCGGCGGGCAUCGCUUCCGCGGCGGCGCUGGUCUGAGGGCAGCAGGAGGGAGGGAGAAGGGGAGGCCCCUCCGCGCGUCUCCCGGCGCCUGGCGAGAGUAGGAGGAGCGGGCGCGCUGAGGGCAGGAGGCGCGCCGCCGAGGGUGGACGGAGGGGAAUCCAGCCGAGAGAAGGGGAUCGGGAGGAAGACGAGAGGUAGUGAGACAGGGGUAGGAUCGACUUUCGCGGGGGCCCAGCUGUCAGAGAGCAGAUUGUCAAAGUGUAAAGAAAUUAGGGGCAAAUGA